AGAUCAGCCCUGGGGUUCAGAGGGAUCCUGACGGCUACUCCUCAAGAUCCUCUCUGUUGUGAUUCAUCCCCCCCAGGCCCUACAGUUUCUCCUUCCUGACUCUUACAUUUCUUUGGAUGGCAUCACUAUUCAAUUCUCCUGCCUCAGCCUCCCAAGUAGCUGGGAUUGCAGUACCUGUCUCCUCCCAUAGUUAGUUGCCAAGCACUGUGGAUUCUACCCCUCAGGGUCCAGACACCCAUUUUCCUUCCCACUGUUCCCUCCCCAUGGAGAAGCCUGUGGCUGACUGACAGCUCAACUUGGAGAAGGUGUUACCUGGGCCAGGUGGGGAAGGUAGGGUUGUUUGCAGAGCAAAGAAGUGAAGCCUAUUCAAUGUGAAAAAGAUGAGGGCGAAGACCUUUAUGAUGAUCCAAGUAAUGAACACACUGGAGAAAGUCAAACAGUCAAAACAAUGUCCCAGACUCCGUGAAGUUCCUGGGUAGAGAAGUAGACAGACGUACACCAUACCUAAUAAUUGGAGGUCCAAGAGAAUGAGAGAAUGGCAGAAAGAACUUUAGAGCAUGGGUAUGAUGGCUAGAGCUUGAGCAGCCAUUGUGGACAUCAGAUGAACCUGAAAGUGAAAACUAUGAGCUGAAUAUGACAAAGCAAAUAGAAAACUGGAUUCAUGAUGACACUGCAAAGCUGCCAGACCAGCUCUAGUCUG
RNAcentral lists this non-coding RNA (700 nucleotides) under Pongo abelii (Sumatran orangutan). The record is from RNAcentral. Lineage: Eukaryota; Metazoa; Chordata; Mammalia; Primates; Hominidae.